Molecule: long non-coding RNA, 2144 nt
Organism: Homarus americanus (American lobster)
Lineage: Eukaryota; Metazoa; Arthropoda; Malacostraca; Decapoda; Nephropidae
Exons: 4
Source: RefSeq, a predicted model, not a curated record
GAAUAGGUUUAGGUUAGGUUAAGUUAGCAUUAAGGUAGUUAAUCUUCAGGUGAAAUAAGCUGGGGCGUAAAAUAAUCUCUAUCACAAUGUUGGCACAGCUCUUCCACCUGUUCAGCGAUAUCUGGUUAUUCUGGUAGUGAAGAACCAAAUCUCCGCUCCCGACGCACCCACGCAUUGUUCAUGAGCUAAAAAAACUCUUUACCAAUUACAAGUCUCUUAUCGCUACAGCGCCAAUAACCCCCCCCCCCCCCCCCCCCCCAGCACAUGCGCUGUAGAUGCUUCAGAAGCCAACGAGAUCUUGUGGUGAUGCCGAAGCUUGGAUGACAUGGCCUUGGCUCAUCUGGUGGAUAUCUUCAUCAGUAAGGACUCCUGGAUGAUUGUGUUUCUGAUGCCCAACAAGAAACAGAGGCAGCCGAGGGGGCCGCUAUAGGACUGAUUACCUGGAUUAAUUGCAGAACAGUGAAUAGGAUGUGGGGGUCCCUGGUGGGCCCCUGAUGGGGCCCUGGUGGAAGCCCUGGUGGGGGCCCUGGGAUGCUGUGUCAUGGACCAAGUGGAUAUAUCUUCAGCAACAGGUCAGUGGCCCACUUGUCUUAUGACUUGCCCUCAAAGAAUUAGUUUAGGCAAUCCACUAAAUCAUCGUGAUUAAGUCCAUUUGGCUCUGGUUGCAAAUUUUGGCCAUAAACACUGUAUAAUAUCUCCAUUAACCAGAAUCCCUCUUAGCUGGAACUCUCCGAUACCCGGAAGAGAAAUUUUUUCAUAAUUUUCCUGAAUAUUCACGGUCUGGAUAUACUGCCCUUUAGUGCAGUCACUUAAUAUUAUGUUUUUUUUUAACUUACUUCUUAAGUUAAGGUUGCUGCCACCAGACCACAGGGCAGUAUGUGUAGUGUUCUUUUGGUAGCUGCCAGAGCAAUCCAGGCACUAAGUUCAUGUUUUUCAUUAAUCAAGUUGAGAAAGGAAGGAAGGGUGAAACACCAACCAGUAUUCUUAUGACACUUUAUUUUAGUUAUUAAAAAUAUUGCAUUCAGUCACAUUACAAAAUAGUUGACUAUCCCCAAGCAAUUAUUUAGGUCACUGCACCACACAAGAUUACCCAACCUUCUCCAAAUAAUUAUUUAAGGUCUUUGCUCUCCAUACAAAAUCAUUGACCUCUUUACCCAGGUCAUUCCUUCCUCAAUAUCACCCAAAAUAUUCAAUAUUGUAGCACCAAAAUAUUCAAUAUCCCCUGAAUAAGGAACAGCCAAUAAUACACACAAUACAUACAGGUGCUGCAACUCAUUCUUGGCACCAGGGUACACACAGUAGGUACCCGUCUCACACUAUAAUCUUGUUAGGUAGAAGAGAUCCUUCCCAGGCAUUCAUACCAGGACUAUUUCUGCAUCCAGUAUCAUUAGUUCACUUAAAGUAGUGACUGUGUGCACCUCAAGUAGCACCAACAUCUCUUCACAUCCAGGGUGUUGAAGUGUAAGAUGUCUAGAGAUCCUUAGGAGAGGUUGCAUAGUGGACAUAAGCAUUACCCACAACACCAGGUGGGAUACUCAAAGUAGAACUGUGGUUGCUGGGCCAAGCAUGCUCUCUGACCUCACUGGUCUGUAUCCAUGGUUCCUUUAUCACUCACAGGCGUGUACACUUUGAAACUGUAGCCGUAGGCUGUUUAGGCUCCAGUGCGAACAAAGGCCUUGGUUCUUGGCUUGGGUAUGGUUCAUUCCCCCCACACUUUGCAAUUGUUUAACAUGUUCAUAAGAUUCUUGAAUCCUUACACUGUUCGUGGCUAUUCGUUACAUGGGGUAACUAUGUAUAUUCAGCUCACACUGAGGUACCUAAAAUAUUUUCCUUGGAGUAUAGUUUAUGGGCCAAUCCCAACACUUCACAUAUGUCUGAUACAUUUAUCUUUUUCCCAGAUCAUUGUUCUCCUAUAUUUUCAUCUGAUACCUGAGGUAGCUAUGUUUACUAAUCAUACACGGACGUAAGUACCAUAACCUUCAGACACAGUCAUACUUAAUCACUAUAGUACAUUAGCUCAUACUAAUUGGGCCUUCCACCUCAUCAUAUAGGUACCUUGAGUUCUCCCUAGUACUAUCAGUAUACAUACUUAAGAUUAUAUGCCCGGAUACUGGUAUAAUUCGUAUAAAACAACAUACAUCAUA